This 399-nucleotide ribosomal RNA is filed under the name uncultured bacterium. RNAcentral's name for it is "bacterial SSU rRNA". It matches the Rfam family "Bacterial small subunit ribosomal RNA", at positions 28 to 417 of the family's 1533-position model. The record is from RNAcentral.
GACGAACGCUGGCGGCGUGCUUAACACAUGCAAGUCGAGCGGUAAGGCCCUUUCGGGGGUACGACGAGCGGCGAACGGGUAGGAGUAACACGUGGGUGGACCUCGCCCUCCAGCUCCUGGGAGUAAGCCUGGGAAACGUAGGGUCGUAAUACUGGAGUAUGACUCCACGGUGCAUGUCGUGGGGUGGAAAGCCUUGUGCGGCUGAGGAUGGCCCGCGGCCUAUCAGCUUGUUGGUGGGGGAUGGCCUACCAAGGCGACGACGGGUAGCCGGCCUGAGAGGGCGACCGGCCACACUGGGACUGAGACACGGCCCAGACUCCUACGGGAGGGCAGCAGUGGGGAAUCUUGCGCAAUGGGCGAAAGCCUGACGCAGCGACGCCGCGUGAGGGAUGACGGCCU